GGGUGCAACAGCGAACCCUAAAACACUAGUCUAACUUUACACACAAAAAGGAAAGGAAAAACGUUAUAGAGAUGGUCGAUGAAUCAAACAUUUCUGAGUGUGAAAUGAUAGAUCCAGCAAUGAAUCACAUAAAGGAAUCCGUAUGCAAGAAGAAUCAGGUAAUAAUCAAGAAGAAGAAGAAGAAGGAAGGAAUUUAUGUACCACUGAAUUGGAUAAUGUUUUGAGCAGACUCGGAAAUAUGGUUUUCAAGAGGGCUGAAUCCUUGGGACAUGCUUCUACUUUAUUGUUCUAGAACCAGGCAGCUGCUCCAUAUAAAGUCUUAUUCUUCUUCUCUCUGUUAACGACACAAAGCCCCUAUGAAAUUCACUAUAACAGGUUUAACGAUUUUACUUGGAUACAACAAAUUGGACAAGAAGCCGUUCAAGAGUUGGCUCCUAAUACAAUUGAAGAGAUAAGGAUAACAGAGCAAAUUGAAUCUGAAUAUGGCAACAAAAGUGUGCAACACUCCCCAAAUGUUUACAGCAGAAGAAAGCCAAGAGGAUGGAUUGUUUUCAACGCCGAUUCGCGUGAGAGGUUCAUCGCCGAAGCCAGAGCCUGAAAAGGUAUCACCAACUGCCGAGAGAGUAGCUGAAAAUGUUCCACCUACAAGAAAGGGAACAAAGAGCAAAUUGAGAUCAGGGCCAUGUUUCAAAUGCUCAACUUAGACUUCACGUUUAUACAACAAAUUGGACACAAAAGCAUUCAAGAGUUAAGUUAAAUUACUAUUGACGAGAUAAGGGCAAAUUGAUUCUGAAUAUGCCAACAAAAGUGCGCAACACUCCCCUAAAUGUUUACAACAGAAGAAAGUCAAAGGGUGAUGGUAUUGUUUUCAACGCCGACUCCUGUGAGAAGUUCGUCGCCGAAGCCAGAGCUUGGAAAGGUAUCACCAACUGCACAGUCCGAGAGAGUAGCUGGAAAUGCUACCUAUACAUGAAAGGGAACGAUAACACAACUUGAGAUCAGGGCCAUGUUUCAGAUGUUCAACUUAGGUGGAUGAAAUGGCUAGAUAUAUGGUUAAAGCCGGGCAUGAGGUUGUUCGAGUGAAGAAGAAAACAAAGAUUCAGCGCUGGUCUGGACCUACACCAAAGGGUAAAAAUCUCAUGUUGGGACCCUAUGCAUCACUAACAUCUCCAACUGCACAGUCUGAGAGAGUCGCUGAAACUGUUGCGCUUGCAUGAUAAGGAUCGAAGCACAAAUUGGGAUCAGGAUCAGGACCAUGUCCAAACGAUCAACUAAGUUCUGAUUGUGGGAUAUUCCUAGUGAAGUUCAUCCUCCUUCUGAUAAGGGAGAUUCCAGUGUGACGGCUUAGUAUCCUGAAAAUGGAUGUUUUCUGUAGAGUGUUCACGGCCAUGGAGUUGUUCAGAAAGCAGUAUUUCUGAACACGAGGAUUUUUUUCUAAUCUGAUGGGUCAGCAUUUCUGAUCUGAUGCAAACACGCUAGUGCAGGAUACAUGUGAUUAGGGUGUAAAGAGUGGCGUCUUGAGUAUAUACACAGUUUCUUUUUGUCUAGUGUGCCAGCAACUAGGGUCAAAGGAAAGAAAUUGAUGCCUAAGUAUGAUAGGAUGGCUGAGAUAAACACGAGGAAUUUUUUCUAAUCCAUGUUUCUACUGGCCUCUGUCAAGAUUGUAGAAAUAAGAUUUGAAUUACCAGUGCAUUUGUAAACGUAGCUUAAUUCUUUUGUAAAUGCUGAUGUUCAUGUGUACAUAUAUUGACUCAAAUAAUAUAUGUAAUCUAGGAACAACUGCUUCUAUCAG
Long non-coding RNA from Papaver somniferum (opium poppy), 1792 nucleotides. RefSeq lists it as uncharacterized. The record is from RefSeq and is a predicted model, not a curated record. NCBI's taxonomy places the organism in Eukaryota, Viridiplantae, Streptophyta, Magnoliopsida, Ranunculales, Papaveraceae. The transcript has 5 exons.